UACGUAGGUCCCGAGCGUUGUCCGGAUUUAUUGGGCGUAAAGCGAGCGCAGGUGGUUUAUUAAGUCUGGUGUAAAAGGCAGUGGCUCAACCAUUGUAUGCAUUGGAAACUGAUAGACUUGAGUGCAGGAGAGGAGAGUGGAAUUCCAUGUGUAACGGUGGAAUGCGUAGAUAUAUGGAGGAACACCGGUGGCGAAAGCGGCUCUCUGGCCUGUAACUGACACUGAGGCUCGAAAGCGUGGGGAGCAAACAGG
RNAcentral lists this ribosomal RNA (252 nucleotides) under uncultured bacterium. RNAcentral describes it as "partial 16S ribosomal RNA". It matches the Rfam family "Bacterial small subunit ribosomal RNA", at positions 524 to 776 of the family's 1533-position model. The record is from RNAcentral.